This is a long non-coding RNA of Cyprinodon tularosa, 1233 nucleotides long. RefSeq lists it as uncharacterized. NCBI's taxonomy places the organism in Eukaryota, Metazoa, Chordata, Actinopteri, Cyprinodontiformes, Cyprinodontidae. The record is from RefSeq and is a predicted model, not a curated record. The transcript is spliced from 2 exons.
GGGAGGUUCCGAACUUUACCGCCGGACCCGUAGAGGGGAGGUUCCGAAGUUUACCGUCGGACCCGUAGAGGGGAGGUUCCGAAGUUUACCGUCGGACCCGUAGAGGGGAGGUUCCGAAGUUUACCGUCGGACCCGUAGAGAGGAGGUUCCGAAGUUUACCGUCGGACCCGUAGAGGGGAGGUUCCGAAGUUUACCGUCGGACCCGUAGAGGGGAGGUUCCGAAGUUUACCGUCGGAACUGUAGAGGGGAGGUUCCGAAGUUUACCGUCGGACCCGUAGAGGGGAGGUUCCGAAGUUUACCGUCGGACCCGUAGAGGGGAGGUUCCGAAGUUUACCAUCGGAACUGUAGAGGGGAGGUUCCGAAGUUUACCGUCGGAACUGUAGAGGGGAGGUUCCGAAGUUUACCGUCGGACCCGUAGAGGGGAGGUUCCGAAGUUUACCGUCGGACCCGUAGAGGGGAGGUUCCGAAGUUUACCGUCGGACCCGUAGAGGGGAGGUUCCGAAGUUUACCGUCGAACCCGUAGAGGGGAGGUUCCGAAGUUUACCGUCGGACCCUUAGAGGGGAGGUUCCGAAGUUUACCGUCGGACCCAUACACGGGAGGUUCCCAAGUUUCGGACCCAUAGAGGGGAGGUUCUGAAGUCAACCGUCGGACCCGUAGAGGGGAGGUUCCGAAGUUUACCGUCGGACCCGUAGAGGGGAGGUUCCGAAGUUUCGAACCCAUUGACCGUCACAGACUGUGCCUUUGCUGAUGGUGCUGAUAAAGUUCUGGUCUACAUGAACCUGUGCGGAUCCGUGGCCCUGCUGUAUGCUGUGUUCAUGUGUCGUAAUAUUUGUGUAAUGCCAAGUAAAUAAAAUAUGCAGAGCUUGAACGGACCGGACCAAAAGGCCCGUGAGCGAUCAUGGAAACUCUGGAGCACAACUGGAAACCAAACGCCUCUGUCAGUACCGGCUGUGUCCGCGUGGAUGUGAUGUAGCAUUAUUUAUUUCACAGCUGCAGCGCCCCCUGGUGUUAUUUCUUCUUUUGUUUUUUGUUUUUAUUAACAGCAAUAAUGGGUCAGAAUAGCGUGCGGUGGUUCUGUGGGGCUCUUACAUGAAGGAAUGAAUCCAAACCCGUUUCUCAUGUUUGAUACUGUAACCUGGAUGUCAGGACGGCUCCUUUUACCUCCUGCUCUUAUCUGGAGCCUUUUUAGUUGCCCUAUUUAAUUUUUGGAAUAAAGAUAUUCAACAGGUUCA